AUUGAACGCUGGCGGCAGGCCUAACACAUGCAAGUCGAACGAGUGGCGGACGGGUGAGUAAUGUCUGGGAAACUGCCUGAUGGAGGAGGAUAACUACUGGAAACGGUAGCUAAUACCGCAUACCAUCAGAUGUGCCCAGAUGUGAUGAGCUUGUUGGUGGGGUAACGGCUCACCAAGGCGCCGAUCCCUAGCUGGUCUGAGAGGAUGACCACCCACACUGGAACGGGGACCCGGUCCAGACUCCUACGGGAGGCAGCAGUGGUGAAUAUUGCACAAUGGGCGCAAGCCUGAUGCAGCCAUGCCGCGUGUAUGACGAAGGCCUGGGGUUUGUAAAGUACUUUCAGUGGGGAGGCGUUACCCGAAGAAGAAGCACCGGCUAACUCCGUGCCAGCAGCCGCGGUAAUAC
This 406-nucleotide ribosomal RNA is filed under the name uncultured bacterium. Its description in RNAcentral is "partial 16S ribosomal RNA". It matches the Rfam family "Bacterial small subunit ribosomal RNA", at positions 30 to 526 of the family's 1533-position model. The record is from RNAcentral.